UCCACAUCAUCAUCAUCAUCAUCACGGUGUUGAGUAUUUUCUUUCACUUUUCCUUCUCUCUGCUCCGCAGCACUGUUGCUGCUGGUAUAAACACAUUUGUUUUAGGGAUUCGAGUCCAGUGACUCCCGGGAAUAAUGUACUGGUGUUUGUUGCCUGCCAGUCCCUCUGUCCGAUCCGGUGGGAGCUGGUCUGUAGUUGGAUGCUGAAGUUCCGGCUCGUAGGUUUGCUCAAUGCAGACAUAAGGUUUGUUACUCUUCCCACUAAACCUUCUCUCUUUUCUUUCCCUGAAUUUCCCUUGGAUUGGUUGCUUAAUUUGACCGCGUCAGAAGCUGAAGAGUUUGCUGCCAAACCAAAUGCCCUCUUUCGUAUUAUCGUAUUAUCAACCUGAAACUAUGGUUUUUGCUUUGGAUGAUCUCAUAGAGACUGCAUCAAAAAGCAGUGAGAGGAUAAGGCCGGAGGAUGAGGCCGAAAUGUAGCCCUCGGGUCAUUAAUUUCCUCCUUCCUGGCAUUGUGUCCUUACAAAUCCUCUUCAAAAUCUAUUAUAACAGGCCUGACAAGUGGUAGUGAUGCAUUAACACCGAAUUCUGCUGCCUCAGAGACGACCAGCCCCACAAAAGACAGAGUGAUGGAGACAAUAGAAGCCUGAAGGAUAACAAAAAAAAAAAAAUCAAAUAUAUCAAAAAGUCAAUCAAUUCAGUCACCCCGGACCAACAAUAAAAUCUGUUCAUGGCCUUUGGGAUCAAAAUGUACUCCGUGACUCGCCUUUCAACUACAAAUCUUGUUUAAAACAAGAGAAAAUAUGCACACCUGCACUUGACAGCUGUGGCACAAAGCCCAACGUUGUGGAACGCCAACCAUCCCGCUCCUCGCCACGUCCCAUUUGGCAUUGCCAGCGGAGAACUUUCUUUUUAAUUCCCCCCCUCUCCCUGCAAUGUUCAAAGAGUUGCCAAUGGACACAUCCCCUUAACAGGAGACGAUAAAGAGACGGGUCGUAGAGGUUCACAGUGGCCGCGUCCGCUCGGCAUCCGAGACGGCUGGAAUUAAAGACCACGAUGUGCGGCACAGCAGAUCAAGAGAGAGAAAAGCGUCACUUUCACAAACAAACAGCAUUUGCGAGAGGAGAACAGAGGAGAGUAGCCUGCAGUCACUAUUUCUCUCACCCGAUGAGGGUUUGGUUGGUCGUAAGCUUGCUCACCUCUAAGACAAUGGCUCUUUUUUUC
Molecule: long non-coding RNA, 1220 nt
Organism: Gasterosteus aculeatus aculeatus (three-spined stickleback)
Lineage: Eukaryota; Metazoa; Chordata; Actinopteri; Perciformes; Gasterosteidae
Source: Ensembl